CGGAGAGCUUGCUCUCGGGUGACGAGCGGCGGACGGGUGAGUAAUGUCUGGGAAACUGCCUGAUGGAGGGGGAUAACUACUGGAAACGGUAGCUAAUACCGCAUAACGUCGCAAGACCAAAGUGGGGGACCUUCGGGCCUCAUGCCAUCAGAUGUGCCCAGAUGGGAUUAGCUAGUAGGUGGGGUAACGGCUCACCUAGGCGACGAUCCCUAGCUGGUCUGAGAGGAUGACCAGCCACACUGGAACUGAGACACGGUCCAGACUCCUACGGGAGGCAGCAGUGGGGAAUAUUGCACAAUGGGCGCAAGCCUGAUGCAGCCAUGCCGCGUGUAUGAAGAAGGCCUUCGGGUUGUAAAGUACUUUCAGCGGGGAGGAAGGCGAUAAGGUUAAUAACCUUGUCGAUUGACGUUACCCGCAGAAGAAGCACCGGCUAACUCCGUGCCAGCAGCCGCGGUAAUACGGAGGGUGCAAGCGUUAAUCGGAAUUACUGGGCGUAAAGCGCACGCAGGCGGUCUGUCAAGUCGGAUGUGAAAUCCCCGGGCUCAACCUGGGAACUGCAUUCGAAACUGGCAGGCUAGAGUCUUGUAGAGGGGGGUAGAAUUCCAGGUGUAGCGGUGAAAUGCGUAGAGAUCUGGAGGAAUACCGGUGGCGAAGGCGGCCCCCUGGACAAAGACUGACGCUCAGGUGCGAAAGCGUGGGGAGCAAACAGGAUUAGAUAC
This 719-nucleotide ribosomal RNA is filed under the name Klebsiella quasipneumoniae. Its description in RNAcentral is "bacterial SSU rRNA". It matches the Rfam family "Bacterial small subunit ribosomal RNA", at positions 72 to 785 of the family's 1533-position model. The record is from RNAcentral. Lineage: Bacteria; Pseudomonadati; Pseudomonadota; Gammaproteobacteria; Enterobacterales; Enterobacteriaceae.